GAAAUAUAAGUAAUUAAGCUGCUAACUUAAUUUAUAGUGAUUGAAUUCAUUAAUAUUUCU
RNAcentral lists this transfer RNA (60 nucleotides) under Davidina armandi. Its description in RNAcentral is "tRNA-Ser". The record is from RNAcentral. Lineage: Eukaryota; Metazoa; Arthropoda; Insecta; Lepidoptera; Nymphalidae.